AGUGAACGCUGGCGGUAGGCCUAACACAUGCAAGUCGAACGGCAGCACAGUAAGAGCUUGCUCUUACGGGUGGCGAGUGGCGGACGGGUGAGGAAUACAUCGGAAUCUACUUUUUCGUGGGGGAUAACGUAGGGAAACUUACGCUAAUACCGCGUACGACCUACGGGUGAAAGCAGGGGAUCUUCGGACCUUGCGCGAUUGAAUGAGCCGAUGUCGGAUUAGCUAGUUGGCGGGGUAAAGGCCCACCAAGGCGACGAUCCGUAGCUGGUCUGAGAGGAUGAUCAGCCACACUGGAACUGAGACACGGUCCAGACUCCUACGGGAGGCAGCAGUGGGGAAUAUUGGACAAAGGGCGCAAGCCUGAUCCGGCCAUACCGCGUGGGUGAAGAAGGCCUUCGGGUUGUAAAGCCCUUUUGUUGGGAAAGAAAAGCAGCAGGUUAAUACCCCGCUGUUCUGACGGUACCCAAAGAAUAAGCACCGGCUAACUUCGUG
RNAcentral lists this ribosomal RNA (492 nucleotides) under uncultured bacterium. RNAcentral describes it as "partial 16S ribosomal RNA". It matches the Rfam family "Bacterial small subunit ribosomal RNA", at positions 29 to 507 of the family's 1533-position model. The record is from RNAcentral.